Molecule: ribosomal RNA, 500 nt
Filed under: uncultured Sphingobacteriia bacterium
Lineage: Bacteria; Pseudomonadati; Bacteroidota; Sphingobacteriia
Description: bacterial SSU rRNA
Rfam family: Bacterial small subunit ribosomal RNA
Source: RNAcentral
GUGCCAGCCGCCGCGGUAAUACGGGAGGAUCCAAGCGUUAUCCGGAUUUAUUGGGUUUAAAGGGUGCGUAGGCGGCUUUUUAAGUCAGGGGUGAAAACUUGCGCUCAACCGUAAGCUUGCCUUUGAUACUGAGGAGCUUGAAUGCACUUGAGGUAGACGGAAUGUGACAAGUAGCGGUGAAAUGCAUAGAUAUGUCACAGAACACCAAUUGCGAAGGCAGCUUACUAAAGUGAGAUUGACGCUGAGGCACGAAAGCGUGGGGAUCGAAACAGGAUUAGAUACCCUGGUAGUCCACGCCCUAAACGAUGAAUACUCGAUGUUAGCGAUACACAGUUAGCGUCUAAGCGAAAGCGUUAAGUAUUCCACCUGGGGAGUACGCCCGCAAGGGUGAAACUCAAAGGAAUUGACGGGGGCCCGCACAAGCGGAGGAGCGUGUGGUUUAAUUCGAUGAUCACGCGAGGAACCUUACCCGGGUCUUGAAAGUUACUGAAGGUUCCAGA